Saimiri boliviensis boliviensis (Bolivian squirrel monkey) is the source of this 279-nucleotide non-coding RNA. The record is from RefSeq and is a predicted model, not a curated record. Lineage: Eukaryota; Metazoa; Chordata; Mammalia; Primates; Cebidae.
AACACCCUCACUCCAGCCUGAGUUUUAAGGAUGGAUAGAGCUGCUUUGUGGUCUGAACUGUUCAUCUCGUACAACAGACAGAACAUCAACCUAUAAUUGCUGACUGGCGAGCCGGAGUGCAGCAGGACAGGCAGAGGACAAGGGAUAAGGACAUGCUGAAGCACAUCAACCAGCAGAAUACCUGACUGGCACUUCCAUUCCAAAGAAAGCACAGAUACAUACAAUACCUUCGAAUGAAAGGGACCGCUCACUCAGAGAGAGAAAUACUUCAGAGUUCUG